AUUGAACGCUGGCGGCAGGCCUAACACAUGCAAGUCGAACGGUAACAGGAAGAAGCUUGCUUCUUUGCUGACGAGUGGCGGUCGGGUGAGUAAUGUCUGGGAAACUGCCUGAUGGAGGGGGAUAACUACUGGAAACGGUAGCUAAUACCGCAUAACGUCGCAAGACCAAAGAGGGGGACCUUCGGGCCUCUUGCCAUCGGAUGUGCCCAGAUGGGAUUAGCUAGUAGGUGGGGUAACGGCUCACCUAGGCGACGAUCCCUAGCUGGUCUGAGAGGAUGACCAGCCACACUGGAACUGAGACACGGUCCAGACUCCUACGGGAGGCAGCAGUGGGGAAUAUUGCACAAUGGGCGCAAGCCUGAUGCAGCCAUGCCGCGUGUGUGAAGAAGGCCUUCGGGUUGUAAAGUACUUUCAGCGGGGAGGAAGGGAGUAAAGUUAAUACCUUUGCUCAUUGACGUUACCCGCAGAAGAAGCACCGGCUAACUCCGUG
RNAcentral lists this ribosomal RNA (490 nucleotides) under uncultured bacterium. Its description in RNAcentral is "partial 16S ribosomal RNA". It matches the Rfam family "Bacterial small subunit ribosomal RNA", at positions 30 to 507 of the family's 1533-position model. The record is from RNAcentral.